RNAcentral lists this ribosomal RNA (616 nucleotides) under Gymnopholus integrirostris. RNAcentral describes it as "SSU rRNA". It matches the Rfam family "Eukaryotic small subunit ribosomal RNA", at positions 14 to 612 of the family's 1831-position model. Lineage: Eukaryota; Metazoa; Arthropoda; Insecta; Coleoptera; Curculionidae. The record is from RNAcentral.
CUGCCAGUAGUCAUAUGCUUGUCUCAAAGAUUAAGCCAUGCAUGUCUCAGUACAAGCCAAANNAAGGURAACCGCNAAAGGCUCAUNAANUCAGUUAUGGUUCCUUANAUCGUACCCACAAUUNCNNGNAUAACUGUGGUAAUUCUAGAGCUAAUACAUGCAAACAGAGCUCCCACCGGAGACGGAAGGAGUGCUUUUAUUAGAUCAAAACCAAUCGGUGGCGAGUUCGCUCGUCAUCGUACAACUUGGUGACUCUGAAUAACUUUACGCUGAUCGCACGGUCUCGCACCGGCGACGCAUCUUUCAAAUGUCUGCCUUAUCAACUGUCGAUGGUAGGUUCUGCGCCUACCAUGGUUGUAACGGGUAACGGGGAAUCAGGGUUCGAUUCCGGAGAGGGAGCCUGAGAANCGGCUACCACAUCCAAGGAAGGCAGCAGGCGCGCAAAUUACCCACUCCCGGCACGGGGAGGUAGUGACGAAAAAUAACGAUACGGGACUGAUCCGAGGCCCCGUAAUCGGAAUGAGUACACUCUAAACCCUUUAACGAGGAUCAAUUGGAGGGCAAGUCUGGUGCCAGCAGCCGCGGUAAUUCCAGCUCCAAUAGCGUAUAUUAAAGU